RNAcentral lists this ribosomal RNA (253 nucleotides) under uncultured bacterium. Its description in RNAcentral is "partial 16S ribosomal RNA". It matches the Rfam family "Bacterial small subunit ribosomal RNA", at positions 524 to 776 of the family's 1533-position model. The record is from RNAcentral.
UACGUAGGGGGCAAGCGUUGUCCGGAUUUAUUGGGCGUAAAGAGCGUGUAGGCGGCUUGACAGGUCUGCUGUGAAAACUCGAGGCUCAACCUCGAGACGCCGAUGGAAACCCCCUGGCUAGAGUCCGGAAGAGGAGAGUGGAAUUCCUGGUGUAGCGGUGAAAUGCGCAGAUAUCAGGAAGAACACCCGUGGCUAAGGCGGCUCUCUAGUACGGUACUGACGCUGAGACGCGAAAGCGUGGGGAGCGAACAGG